RNAcentral lists this long non-coding RNA (668 nucleotides) under Mytilus galloprovincialis (Mediterranean mussel). The record is from RNAcentral. Lineage: Eukaryota; Metazoa; Mollusca; Bivalvia; Mytilida; Mytilidae.
GAGUUGUAUCAAGCUUGAAUAUUGUAUCCAUUUUGCCCAAACUGUUCAGGGUUGGACCCCCACGGUCGUAUCCAGCUGCACUAGGCGAAGCAGUUUAUCUCAUUAUCUCAUCUAUCAUAUUGAUGUAAACUUUACCUUAACUUCAUUUGAGAAAUUUUCGUAUGUAAGUUGUAAGUGAAACUUGAUAAACACACUCAACAUUAAAAUAUUAUUUAUUAAAAUACAUAAAUACAUACAUAUAUUAAUUCUAGUAUUAAGACACAUUCAUUUAACUACUGGACCCAUGGUCAGUUUUCUUACAAUAUCAAAGCUUCAUGAAAAAAUGUUCUUGUUGACUUUAUAAUAGUCUUCUACAUAGAUCAUCAUGCAGAUUUUGGUGAAGCACUUAUCCCUCCCAAGAUAUUUAUUAUCACCUACCAAUUUCAUCAUGCCAAAAUCAGCUUUUGAUGAAAAAGAAAACUUAGAUGAAGAUCCGGUAGUCAAGUACAUGUAUCAAUAAGGCCAUUUAAAAUAAAUCUUUUGUUUCUAAGCAUUUUGAAUUGUAAAUAUUUUUUUGAUUGCUUGUGGCCAAGCUGUGUAUAAUUUUCAAUUGCUUUGAAAAGAUAAAGAGGAUAUUAUAAUUUUGUUUGAAACCAAUAUAAUUUGCAAUAGAUAAAAACUUGUAGAUC